UACGGGGGGAGCAAGCGUUGUUCGGAUUUACUGGGCGUAAAGGGCGCGUAGGCGGCCCGCUAAGUCGAACGUGAAAUCCCCAGGCUUAACCUGGGAACUGCGUCCGAUACUGGCAGGCUUGAAUCCGGGAGAGGGAUGUGGAAUUCCAGGUGUAGCGGUGAAAUGCGUAGAUAUCUGGAGGAACACCGGUGGCGAAGGCGGCAUCCUGGACCGGCAUUGACGCUGAGGCGCGAAAGCCAGGGGAGCAAACGGG
This 253-nucleotide ribosomal RNA is filed under the name uncultured bacterium. Its description in RNAcentral is "partial 16S ribosomal RNA". It matches the Rfam family "Bacterial small subunit ribosomal RNA", at positions 524 to 776 of the family's 1533-position model. The record is from RNAcentral.